UACGAAGGGGGCUAGCGUUGCUCGGAAUCACUGGGCGUAAAGCGCACGUAGGCGGACUCUUAAGUCGGUGGUGAAAUCCUGGAGCUCAACUCCAGAACUGCCUUCGAUACUGAGAGUCUCGAGUCCGGGAGAGGUGAGUGGAACUGCGAGUGUAGACGUGAAAUUCGUAGAUAUUCGCAAGAACACCAGUGGCGAAGGCGGCUCACUGGCCCGGUACUGACGCUGAGGUGCGAAAGCGUGGGGAGCAAACAGG
This 253-nucleotide ribosomal RNA is filed under the name uncultured bacterium. Its description in RNAcentral is "partial 16S ribosomal RNA". It matches the Rfam family "Bacterial small subunit ribosomal RNA", at positions 524 to 776 of the family's 1533-position model. The record is from RNAcentral.